UACAGAGGUGGCAAGCGUUGUUCGGAAUUACUGGGCGUAAAGGGCGCGUAGGCGGCCUUCUAAGUCAGACGUGAAAUCCCCCGGCUUAACCUGGGAACUGCGUCUGAUACUGGGAGGCUUGAGUAUGGGAGAGGGAUGUAGAAUUCCAGGUGUAGCGGUGAAAUGCGUAGAUACUGGGAGGAACACCGGUGGCGAAGGCGGCUACCUGGACCGGAACUGACGCUGAGGCGCGAAAGUGUGGGUAGCAAACAGG
RNAcentral lists this ribosomal RNA (253 nucleotides) under uncultured bacterium. RNAcentral's name for it is "partial 16S ribosomal RNA". It matches the Rfam family "Bacterial small subunit ribosomal RNA", at positions 524 to 776 of the family's 1533-position model. The record is from RNAcentral.